AUUGAACGCUGGCGGUAGGCCUAACACAUGCAAGUCGAGCGGAUGAAGCGAGCUUGCUGCUGGAUGCAGCGGCGGACGGGUGAGAAAUGCCUAGGAAUCUGCCUGGUAGUGGGGGAUAACGUCCGGAAACGGGCGCUAAUACCGCAUACGUCCUGAGGGAGCAAGUGGGGGAUCUUCGGACCUCUCGCUAUCAGAUGAGCCUAGGUCGGAUUAGCUAGUUGGUGGGGUAAAGGCCUACCAAGGCGACGAUCCGUAACUGGUCUGAGAGGAAGAUCAGUCACACUGGAAAUGAGACACGGUCCAGACGCCUACGGGAGGCAGCCGUGGGGAAUAUUGGACGAUGGGGGAAAGCCUGAUCCAGCCAUGCCGCGUGUGUGAAGAAGGUAUUCGGAUUGUGAAGCGCUUUAAGUUGGGAGGAAGGGCAGUAAGUUAAUGCCUUGCUGUUUUGACGUUACCAACAGAAUAAGCACCGGCUAACUUCGUG
Molecule: ribosomal RNA, 484 nt
Filed under: uncultured bacterium
Lineage: Bacteria
Description: partial 16S ribosomal RNA
Rfam family: Bacterial small subunit ribosomal RNA
Source: RNAcentral